RNAcentral lists this long non-coding RNA (892 nucleotides) under Pan troglodytes (chimpanzee). RNAcentral's name for it is "long non-coding RNA NONPTRT010847". Lineage: Eukaryota; Metazoa; Chordata; Mammalia; Primates; Hominidae. The record is from RNAcentral.
CGAGGUCAGGAGAUCGAGACCAUCCUGGUUAACACGGUGAAACCCCGUCUGUACUAAAAAUACAAAAAAUUAGGCAGGUGUGGUGGCGGGCGUCUGUAGUCCCAGCUACUUGGGAGGCUGACCCCGUCUGUACUAAAAAUACAAAAAAUUAGGCAGGUGUGGUGGCGGGCGCCUGUAGUCCCAGCUACUUGGGAGGCUGAGGCAGGAGAAAGGCGUGAGGCAGGAGAAAGGCGUAAACCCGGGAGGCGGAACUUGCAGUGAGCCGAGAUCACGCCACUGCACUCCAGCCUGAGCGACAGAGCGAGACUCCGUCUCAAACAAACAAAAACAAACAAAACAAGAUGACACCUUAGCCUCCCAUCUUCUGACACUCCUUAUUAACUUAUGUAUGAGAAGGCUAUACUGUUAAUUUGAGACAGCUAUUGAGAGUCUUGUCAUAAUAGGCUUCUUUCUGCAUUCCUUCACUAGUGGCCCUGAAGCUGCACUAUGUUGGAGGUUUCCUUGACUAAGAGAACCACAUGCGGCAUUCAGCUCAGUAGGGGAGUCAUAAAAGAUCCCGCCUCUGACCAGAAGAGUAUGAAUGACAAAGAUCUGACGGAUCUCCUGGGAUUUCCUGGGGAAAUGAAAUGAGUCUAACACCUUUGACCACCUGCUGGAUAUUAUAUCAGCACUUACUUAAGUAAGCUGUGGAAGAGCUGAAAGCAGUAUUCAGAGUCUGACAGUUCUCUGCAAUUGGCCUAGAUAAACUCAUUGUGAAAUAAGUAACUAAAUGGGCAAAAGAUUUGAACAAGCACUUCACAAAAGAAGACCAAGAAGAGGGCAGGGUUUUUUGUUUGGGGAGUUUUAUUUAGUUUUGUUUUGGGGUUGUUUUGUUUUGGCAGGGGACAGGAGG